UAUGUAGCCUAUUGCCAUGAAUUUGGUCAGAGUUGAGGAACUGGGUCACGACACAUCAAGGGAGAUGAAAAUCUCGUCAAGGACAGAGUGAGAGGGGAGGAUAUAGAUGCCAGGCGGGACAUGGCGAGAUGUGAUGCCGAUGUCUAAGGGCACCAGUGGGUCGAGCGAGACGGGCUUCUGCCCAGCGAUGCCAAGAAAGAAGCGUCAAUGGCAGGCGCUGACCAGUCUACGCGUAUUAUGGGCUUACAGUCCAAUUUUGAGUUUUUCAUAUCAACAUGAUUGUUUUACGGUCAAUUUUCUGAAUAUUGUUAGUGACUAACUAUUUCCUAAUUUUGUUUAUUUAGGAUGGAGAGAAUAUGUAAGGCUAAUGUUUGAGCAGAAGGAGAGUGAAAAGAUGCAAGAGUGAUACACCCAAGCACUUGAUUUGAGUCAAACAUGGUUUGUUGUACAGGAUUCCACCGUAUUUGUCCGCACAAAUAGUGCUUGAUAUUUACUGAUAAUAGUUUUUCUCCAUAGUUCAGUGCCUACAUCUUUAUUUUCCUAAUAUAGUCAUAUUGCCCAUAAACGUGCAUCUUUUAUUUUGAGUUCUUCCUGGGUGCCACACUGAAGGCGAAUUCUUCCUAGAUGUAUCAUGCACCUGUAUCUUGCCGUUCUAUAUUCUCAAAGGUUUCGGACACCACUUUGACCUGCGACAAAUAUUUGGACUAUUUAUUUAGUGACACUGAUCAUAGCUGCCCGCAGGUUUUAUUCACUCACCAACUCUGGCUUUUGGUGUACACGGUACACCGUGAGGCAAGUAGGUUGACAAUUUCAUCUGUUAUCAUGAGUGUCGUGUUUACUCUUGCAGUUCAGUUAUUAAGCUUAUGCUUAAGAUGAUUGUACUGUCUAGAGGUAGAAUGGCUAAGCUCUCUUUAUAAUCCUUUUACUGGAUAUCUUGCAAAUGGCACACUAAAGGGGAUGAAAGUAUUAGGUGUGGGGGUAUCAGUCCACUAUGUUCUUAUGUCUAUGGAUCCGCGAAAUGUUGACGCUUUAUUGGUUUUGGUCACAAAAAUGUUUGGUGUACAUGCUUUCAUCUUGAAUAUAUGUAGCUCUAAAGUAAUACUACUUCCCAGUUAGUUCAUUGAAGUAAUGAUACAAUCAAUUGGAUGCUUUUCUACUGUUAUGGAUCUAGCGGGAAAAAAAGUUGUUUUGAUGUCAUUGUUUUUCACCAUAGUUCAUUGUCAACAUCUUUAUUCUCCUAAUACAGUCAUAUUAUCCAUAUAAGUGCAGCUUUUAGUUCGUAAAAGUACUUUGUACUUAGCCCAAUUGAUUUAAAUAGAUCCCUUGUUUAUACAGUAUGUAUGAGACACCUUGCAAUUAUUUCACUAGAUCGAUGGAUGAUAGCUUGCUGUUGCAGAUGAAACCGAAGAAACUGUAUCUAUCCUGGGCCAGUUGCCAACCAAGCCAACAUUGUCUCAGUUACCGGUUCAAAGAUGUCUCAAACCACGCACAAACAUUUCAGUUGAUACAUACGCCAUAAGUUUGGUUGUCUGCUCUUUUAAAUGCCCAGAAGCAUAACUCUCGAGAUCAUUGCGGAGAUCAUUGCUCACUGAACAUAAGACCAGAUGUUCCAAUUUAUUUUAUUGCUCAAAGAAGAAUUGGUGUUCUGUUGUGUUAUCCUGUGACACUAUAUGGCAUCAGGUUGUUUGCUUCUAUCGAUUGGUUUGUGGUUUGUGGGUUGUGCUUUGCACCGUCGUUAUCAGUGUUUCUGUUAGAUUAUUGUCUGAUCUGUUCCACCAACAGAUAUGGAAGUUGUUGGUGUGGUGAUCGUUGUAGGGCCCGGGCUGACUGGCAGGAAAGUUGGGAAUGUCGUCGCGUAUACAGGCAAGCCGAUGGGCUCUUAUGCUGAAGAGCAGAUUAUUCCAGCCAAUGUUGGUUCCCGUCACGCCUUUGAUUGAUCACACAGUGGCUGCUAUCAUGCUCAAGGGGGUGACUGCCCAUAUGCUGGUUCGCCACAUAUUUAAGGCAUCAUUAGAGUGCUUGGCGUCCUGCGUUUUCCUGGUGUCGUUCGGCAGUCCUCAGCCUCGCCCGACCCGAUCUCCAUGGGCGACCUGGCAUCCAAGUCGUUGUUCCUGACGAGGCCGAGCAUGAUGCACUACACGGGCACCUGCAACGAGUUGCUUGAGGCAGCCGGCGAGUUGUUUCCAAUGUGGUCUAUGGGGUGCUGCACAUCCGUGUGAAGCACACCCACCCGCUGCCGAAGGCGUCCCGCGCUCACACUAACCUCAAGGCCCAGAAGACGCCGGGCUCCAUACUGCUGACCCCGUAGAACUAAGCACCGUCAUCUUUUUUUUGGGUAGGAGAAGAAGGAAUAAACAGGGGACUCUGCGAUCUAUGUGCUCUAGAAUCUACAAUGCUUGUGAAUAUGUUGGUAGGAGUUGGCAUCUGAACACUGAAUCCUAUCAGUUUGUUUCACCUGGUUAUGUUGGAUUCAGUGGUGGUUAUGAGUUGGAUUGUGGUCUUGUUGUGCACAUCACAGUUUAAAGCAUGACGAGUUGUAAAGUCUAAUAUUUUUCAAUAUGGUCACCUAGCAGGACAAGUA
Long non-coding RNA from Triticum dicoccoides, 2581 nucleotides. RefSeq lists it as uncharacterized. The record is from RefSeq and is a predicted model, not a curated record. NCBI's taxonomy places the organism in Eukaryota, Viridiplantae, Streptophyta, Magnoliopsida, Poales, Poaceae. The transcript has 2 exons.